CCUACGGGAGGCAGCAGUGAGCAAUAUUGGUCAAUGGGCGAGAGCCUGAACCAGCCAAGUCGCGUGAAGGAUGACGGCCCUAUGGGUUGUAAACUUCUUUUAUAAGGGAAUAAAGUGAGGCACGUGUUCCUUUUUGUAUGUACUUUAUGAAUAAGCAUCGGCUAACUCCGUGCCAGCAGCCGCGGUAAUACGGAGGAUCCGAGCGUUAUCCGGAUUUAUUGGGUUUAAAGGGAGCGUAGAUGGUUUCUUAAGUCAGCUGUGAAAGUUUGUGGCUCAACCGUAAAAUUGCAAUUGAAACUGGUUGACUUGAGUACAUUUGAGGUAGGCGGAAUGCGUGGUGUAGCGGUGAAAUGCUUAGAUAUCACGAAGAACUCCGAUUGCGAAGGCAGCUUACUAAACUGUCACUGACACUGAUGCUCGAAAGUGUGGGGAUCAAACAGGAUUAGAUACCCUUGUAGUC
Molecule: ribosomal RNA, 460 nt
Filed under: uncultured bacterium
Lineage: Bacteria
Description: partial 16S ribosomal RNA
Rfam family: Bacterial small subunit ribosomal RNA
Source: RNAcentral